This is a long non-coding RNA of Melospiza melodia melodia, 591 nucleotides long. RefSeq lists it as uncharacterized. Lineage: Eukaryota; Metazoa; Chordata; Aves; Passeriformes; Passerellidae. The transcript has 3 exons. The record is from RefSeq and is a predicted model, not a curated record.
CAUUUUUUUUAUCAAGUCUUUUUUCUUUAAGGUGUCACUUUGCAAGGUUGCUUGCUGAUGAUAAUGUUAUGCUGCUACAGCUGUGUGGAGGAAAUGAGACUGAUGAAAUUUCUCUGUGUGAAAACCUGUAGAAGUUGACUUCAAAGAGAGAGAUGUCCAUGAAACGUGAAUGCAGCAGAGAUGUUCCCCAGAGAUAUUUCAGCUACCAGGAAUAUGAACUGUUGUGAGCACCUCUCCUCUCAGAUUUGCAUAGAUGGAGAUGCAUUGACUCAAAAGAGAAGGAUUUUGAUAAGCAGAUAUUAGCUUCAGUCAGAGCUGAGUAAAGAGGAAAAAAAAGGUAACAGAGGUAGUGGGUGACCGUGAGGCAACUUCAUAACUGACAUAUCUGACGACUCGUAAAGGUUGCAUCCUGAGGAGAUAAGCCCAUUUCCCAGGUUCCUCUGCAGAGAGACUUUCAGGUCCUCCAUGGAGCGGCCAGAGGCCGGGGCGACGGGGCAGUUGCCCUUCAGAUGGACCUGGAGGCUGCAGAAGUGAAUGUAGCUCUUGUGGCAGUGGAUGCAUUUAUGGGGGCGUUCCCGAGUGUGGAGACGC